UACGAAAAUGCCCUUCGAUAGUUAACUGCAGCCGGUUCCAUCGGCAGUUAACUGUCGAGGAAAGA
This 65-nucleotide microRNA precursor is filed under the name Medicago truncatula (barrel medic). Its description in RNAcentral is "MIR2629 microRNA precursor family". It matches the Rfam family "MIR2629 microRNA precursor family". The record is from Rfam by way of RNAcentral. Lineage: Eukaryota; Viridiplantae; Streptophyta; Magnoliopsida; Fabales; Fabaceae.